GAUGAAGAACGCCGCGAAAUGCGAUACGUAAUGUGAAUUGCAGAAUUCAGUGAAUCAUCGAAUCUUUGAACGCAUAUUGCGCUCUUUGGUAUUCCGAAGAGCAUGCUUGUUUGAGUAUCAGUAAACACCUCAACCUCUUCUUGAUUUUUCAAAAGGAGGGUGGACUUGAGCUAUCCCAACAACCUUUACCGGUCGGCGGGCGGCUUGAAAUGCAGGUGCAGCUGGACUUUUAUCUGAGCUAAAAGCAUAUCUAUUUAGUCCUCGUCAAACAGGAUUAUUACUUUUGCUGCAGCUAACAUAAAGGAUAAUUGUCCUCUUUGCUGACUGAUGCAGGAUUUUACGACACUUUAUGUGUUGUUCAACUCGAUCUCAAAUCAAGUAAGACUACCCGCUGAACUUAAGCAUAUCAAUAAGCGGAGGA
RNAcentral lists this unclassified non-coding RNA (421 nucleotides) under soil metagenome. Its description in RNAcentral is "partial contains 5.8S ribosomal RNA, internal transcribed spacer 2, and large subunit ribosomal RNA". The stretch from base 1 to 120 matches the Rfam family "5.8S ribosomal RNA", at positions 35 to 154 of the family's 154-position model. The record is from RNAcentral.